This 320-nucleotide ribosomal RNA is filed under the name uncultured eukaryote. Its description in RNAcentral is "partial 18S ribosomal RNA". It matches the Rfam family "Eukaryotic small subunit ribosomal RNA", at positions 1470 to 1796 of the family's 1831-position model. The record is from RNAcentral.
CCCUUAGAUGUUCUGGGCCGCACGCGCGCUACACUGAACAGUUCAACAAGUCUUAACCUUGGCCGAUAGGUCUGGGUAAUCUUUGAACGCUGUUCGUGAUUGGGAUAGACCUUUGCAAUUAUGGGUCUUCAACGAGGAAUUCCUAGUAAACGCAAGUCAUCAGCUUGCAUUGAUUACGUCCCUGCCCUUUGUACACACCGCCCGUCGCACCUACCGAUUGAAUGGUCCGGUGAAAUCUCGGGACGGCGGCUUGGUCGCUUGCGUCCGACUGCUGAAACUUGAUUAAACCAUAUCAUUUAGAGGAAGGCGAAGUCGUAACA